AGCUUUGCGCAGUGGCAGUAUCGUAGCCAAUGAGGUUUAUCUGAGGCGUGAUUAUUGCUAAUUGAAAAACAGAAUUAGAACAGUCCUGACAGAAGUUAGGUCUUUGUUUUGUUUUCCUUUUUCAAUGUAAA
Tupaia belangeri (northern tree shrew) is the source of this 131-nucleotide small nuclear RNA. Its record names the gene U4. It matches the Rfam family "U4 spliceosomal RNA". Rfam says of the family: U4 small nuclear RNA (U4 snRNA) is a component of the major U2-dependent spliceosome. The record is from Ensembl. NCBI's taxonomy places the organism in Eukaryota, Metazoa, Chordata, Mammalia, Scandentia, Tupaiidae.